GCCGAGGUAGCUCAACGGUAGAGCAAUCGCUUCGUAAGCGAUAGGUUGUGGGUUCAAAUCCCAUCCUCGGCU
Elusimicrobia bacterium GWB2_63_22 is the source of this 72-nucleotide non-coding RNA. The record is from Rfam. NCBI's taxonomy places the organism in Bacteria, Pseudomonadati, Elusimicrobiota.